This 774-nucleotide long non-coding RNA is filed under the name Gallus gallus (chicken). RNAcentral describes it as "lncRNA (ENSGALG00010019436.1)". The record is from RNAcentral. Lineage: Eukaryota; Metazoa; Chordata; Aves; Galliformes; Phasianidae.
GUUUAAUCUUCUCUGCUCUCAGCUGAUGCACCGUGGCGUGACCUUGUGUUGUUACAUGCACACGAGCAUUUUCUGAAGUACUCCAGUGUUACAGCCCAGUGCUGCACUUCUGCAGAUGGCCCUUGUGUUUCUUACUGUCCCCACCAGUGCAUUAUCUCUACCUUUUGCUGGGCUUUUCCUAGGCUGGAACAUGUGUGGCAGCAAGUAACACUGACCAUGACGAUGUGUGGUUGCAUGGCCCUAAACCAACCAUGCUUUGAACACCCAUCAGCUCUUGCCACAAGACGUUGACGUUUGCUGGAUGUGAACGUGUUGCUUAGUCAUAUGGAAAGCCAUCGGGACCUAUUGGCACGUUGACAUUUUGCUGCUGCGAAGACUCGUAAUUUAAUGCAUUCUAUCAUCUAUUCUGGAGCCAACUACAAGAGGAGAGUGGGUGACUUGAGCAAUUGGAGCAGGGUGGAAGUCUGCGAGGGUGUUUUGUACCCAGCAAGAUCUGCAGCAGAGCUGAGGAAGGGAAACCCUUCACCUGAGCCCUCUCCCUGCUGUCGGGGCACAUCUGGGCUCAGCUCCACCAGUAGCUGGCGGGAAGGUGACGUGGAUACCUGCUUGGAGUUGCUCCCAAGAGGCCUUUUGCUGGGACAGAAAGAGGAAUAAUAACUGCAGGCAAAGCUACCACCCAAUUGGUUGGCCCUGUAGUAUGACAGCAACCUACUGCUGAUUGAAGCAGAUGUUUAAAGGAGGAAACGAUGAGUUCAGUUCCUACUUAAGCCCAAU